RNAcentral lists this ribosomal RNA (253 nucleotides) under uncultured bacterium. Its description in RNAcentral is "partial 16S ribosomal RNA". It matches the Rfam family "Bacterial small subunit ribosomal RNA", at positions 524 to 776 of the family's 1533-position model. The record is from RNAcentral.
UACGGAGGGGGCAAGCGUUAUUCGGAAUUAUUGGGCGUAAAGGGCGCGUAGGCGGCUAGAUGUGUCAAAGGUGAAAUCCCUCGGCUCAACUGAGGAACUGCCUUUGAAACUGUCUGGCUUGAGGCCGGGAGAGGGUAGCGGAAUUCCCGGUGUAGUGGUGAAAUGCGUAGAUAUCGGGAGGAACACCAGUGGCGAAGGCGACUACCUGGCCUGUUCUUGACGCUGAGGCGCGAAAGCUAGGGGAGCAAACGGG